AGAGUUUGAUCCUGGCUCAGAACGAACGCUGGCGGCGUGCCUAACACAUGCAAGUCGAACGGAGAUAAGGGGCUUGCUCCUUAUUUUAGUGGCGCACGGGUGAGUAACGCGUGGAUAAUCUACCUUGGAAUCUGGGAUACAUUUCGAAAGGGGUGCUAAUACCGGAUAAGACCACGAGCUCUUUGGAGUUUGCGGUAAAAGGGGGCCUCUGUAUAUGCUUCUGUUUCAAGAUGAGUCCGCGUACCAUUAGCUAGUUGGCAGGGUAACGGCCUACCAAGGCAACGAUGGUUAGCUGGUCUGAGAGGAUGAUCAGCCACACUGGAACUGAGACACGGUCCAGACUCCUACGGGAGGCAGCAGUGGGGAAUUUUGCGCAAUGGGGGAAACCCUGACGCAGCAACGCCGCGUGAGUGAUGAAGGCCUUCGGGUCGUAAAGCUCUGUCAGAGGGAAAGAAGUGUAUUUUGGUUAAUACCCGAGAUACUUGACGGUACCCUCAAAGGAAGCACCGGCUAACUCCGUG
This 521-nucleotide ribosomal RNA is filed under the name uncultured bacterium. RNAcentral describes it as "bacterial SSU rRNA". It matches the Rfam family "Bacterial small subunit ribosomal RNA", at positions 8 to 507 of the family's 1533-position model. The record is from RNAcentral.